GACAGAGGCCCCAAGCGUUAGGCGGAAUCACUGGGCUUAAAGCGUGUGUAGGCGGAUCGUUAAGUGUCUUGUGAAAUCCCACGGCUCACCCGUGGAACUGCUGGGCAUACUGGCGAUCUUGGGCCAACUAGGGGCAGCCGGAACAAGCGGUGGAGCGGUGAAAUGCGUAGAUAUCAGGAGGAACCCCGAUGGCGAAGGCAGGUCUCUGGGCAUUAACUGACGCUGAGGAGCGAAAGCAUGGGGAGCGAACAGG
Molecule: ribosomal RNA, 253 nt
Filed under: uncultured bacterium
Lineage: Bacteria
Description: partial 16S ribosomal RNA
Rfam family: Bacterial small subunit ribosomal RNA
Source: RNAcentral